GAUGAACGCUGGCGGCGUGCCUAAUACAUGCAAGUCGAGCGAACAGACGAGGAGCUUGCUCGUCUGACGUUAGCGGCGGACGGGUGAGUAACACGUGGAUAACCUACCUAUAAGACUGGGAUAACUUCGGGAAACCGGAGCUAAUACCGGAUAAUAUAUUGAACCGCAUGGUUCAAUAGUGAAAGACGGUUUUGCUGUCACUUAUAGAUGGAUCCGCGCCGCAUUAGCUAGUUGGUAAGGUAACGGCUUACCAAGGCGACGAUGCGUAGCCGACCUGAGAGGGUGAUCGGCCACACUGGAACUGAGACACGGUCCAGACUCCUACGGGAGGCAGCAGUAGGGAAUCUUCCGCAAUGGGCGAAAGCCUGACGGAGCAACGCCGCGUGAGUGAUGAAGGUCUUCGGAUCGUAAAACUCUGUUAUUAGGGAAGAACAAAUGUGUAAGUAACUAUGCACGUCUUGACGGUACCUAAUCAGAAAGCCACGGCUAACUACGUG
Molecule: ribosomal RNA, 497 nt
Filed under: uncultured bacterium
Lineage: Bacteria
Description: partial 16S ribosomal RNA
Rfam family: Bacterial small subunit ribosomal RNA
Source: RNAcentral